This 60-nucleotide transfer RNA is filed under the name Stygobromus tenuis potomacus. Its description in RNAcentral is "tRNA-His". Lineage: Eukaryota; Metazoa; Arthropoda; Malacostraca; Amphipoda; Crangonyctidae. The record is from RNAcentral.
AUUAAUAUAGUUUAGAAAAAAUAUUACUUUGUGGAGGUAGUGAUGCUUAUGCUAUUAAUC